AGUAGAAAGUUACUUAACCAACGGUAAACUAUGAAAAUUCAAGUGUUAAAUCACUGAAUUUUAAAGUUCACUGAGGAAAGUCCGUCCACCCCAUAUUUUAUAUGGAAGUAAUUGCUCAUGAAAAUGAGGCGGAGCAAUCUGCGGCUCUGGGUAAGAAACACACGGCCAUUAAGAAUAGGAAUGAUGUGCGCGAAGCAUUGGGUGACCGAUGUUAGUUAACCCACAGACGACCUUAAUGGAAACGAUGAAAUCCGAACCCCUUUUGGUGCAAGUCAUGUUGACGCUUAGUUGAAUGUUAAGACAGUCUGUUCGACACUUUGUAACGAAGACUGACAAAAGACGGCUUAUUACUCUCUACU
Molecule: RNase P RNA, 359 nt
Filed under: Candidatus Woesearchaeota archaeon
Lineage: Archaea; Nanobdellati; Candidatus Woesearchaeota
Description: RNase P RNA component
Rfam family: Archaeal RNase P
About the family: Ribonuclease P (RNase P) is a ubiquitous endoribonuclease, found in archaea, bacteria and eukarya as well as chloroplasts and mitochondria. Its best characterised activity is the generation of mature 5'-ends of tRNAs by cleaving the 5'-leader elements of precursor-tRNAs.
Source: RNAcentral